This 856-nucleotide unclassified non-coding RNA is filed under the name Hevea brasiliensis (rubber tree). Lineage: Eukaryota; Viridiplantae; Streptophyta; Magnoliopsida; Malpighiales; Euphorbiaceae. The record is from RNAcentral.
CAAUAAACCUCAAAGCUGCAACUGCUUCACGCUCGCGGCAAUCCAUAAUCCAUCCUUGCAAAUUCUGAUUCCUUCCGCGCCAAAUCUUCGAUCUGCAGAAUAAGUUCAUCUGCCAGUGUGUCUUUUUGUUGGAAGAUAAGCGUUGAUCAAGAGAAAAAUGGGGGUAGAUGAUGUGCCUCUGGAUGACAAGGCGAAGAGAAUGAGAGAUCUGCUAUCAAGCUUCUACUCUCCAGAUCCUGCAAUGUCAUCCAGCAAUUCUUCGAAAUUCGCUUCCUUAGAUGCUAUCAACACCACUUCGUUCGACGCUGAUCAGUACAUGAAUCUCUUGGUGCAAAAAUCAAACUUGGAAGGGCUCUUGCAGAAGCAUGUUGAAAUGGCAGCCGAGAUAAAGAAUUUGGAUACUGAUUUGCAAAUGCUAGUGUAUGAAAAUUACAAUAAGUUCAUCAGUGCGACUGACACGAUCAAGAGGAUGAAAAAUAAUAUUGUGGGCAUGGAAGCAAAUAUGGAGCAGCUCCUUGAGAAAAUAAUGUCAGUGCAAUCAAGAAGUGAUGGUGUAAACACAUCUCUUUUUGAAAAGAGGGAACAUAUAGAGAAAUUGCAUCGCACACGCAACCUUCUUCGUAAAGUUCAGUUUAUAUAUGAUCUACCUGCUAGACUUGGGAAGUGUAUUAAAUCAGAAGCAUAUGCUGAUGCAGUCAGGUUCUAUACCGGAGCAAUGCCAAUUUUUAAGGCAUAUGGGGAUUCAUCAUUCCAGGACUGUAAGCGAGCAUCUGAAGAAGCUAUGGGCACAGUUAUAAAAAAUUUGCAGGGAAAGCUUUUCUCAGAUGCUGAAUCCAUACAAGCAAGGGCUGAGGCU